Cydia pomonella (codling moth) is the source of this 11177-nucleotide long non-coding RNA. RefSeq lists it as uncharacterized. Lineage: Eukaryota; Metazoa; Arthropoda; Insecta; Lepidoptera; Tortricidae. The transcript is spliced from 2 exons. The record is from RefSeq and is a predicted model, not a curated record.
GCUGAUAUUGUUAAUAUAAACUCCAUCUACCGAACACCCGACGUUGACUUUGACGACGUUGACGACGUUGAUAAUACUUCAUCCAAAGAUUUAAAAAAAUAAGUUGAUUUGUCUGGAAAUCGAACCGACUCAAAUGUAAAAAAAAACCAUCCUGUAUUUUUAUGAUGCCAAUCGAAAGAAUGCUUAAAAAAUAAGUUAUCUCAGAAAUAAUUAUGAUAUCGCAAAAGAAAUGAAUAGAGUAAAAUUUUUGAUUAAAAUUUCAAGAUUCGGUAUAAUUCCCAGAAAAAGUAAGCAAAUUUCAAUUUUUUUUAGAAAUUCUUUGAAUGCAUUAUUACUUACUUUUAAAAUUAAAUAAAGUCUUCUUUCAGCAAAAUAUCCUAUCUACGAUAUUUAAGGUACUUUCCAUUGAUAUCCCAUAGUCUUGGGACGCCCUGUAUACUCCUGCAACCUGCAACUCCGUCGUUGAGCUCCGGCAACCUUACUCACCGGCAGGAACACAACACUAUGAAUAGGGUCUAGUGUUAUUUGGCUGCGGUUUUCUGUAGGUGGAGGUACUUCCCCAGUUGAACUCUGCUCUAGAUCUGGAAUGACAUCCUCUGUGCUUAGCCCUACCACACAAAGCGAGAGGCAUUCACAGUGCCCAUACCUAUCUUUUGGACAUAGUUUAAGGACAUCCGGGUAUGUCCUAAUAGAGUAGAAUAGAAUUGAUGUUUUAAGAUCUGAAUUCAUAAUAUAUGAAAGAUAACGCACGUUAGGGUAUAAGAAAUGCCACAAAAUAACAAAGUUUCUGAUGUAAAUAGUAUAGCCAAGAUUUUUUUUCCCAAAAAAUCUUAUUUUCUUAGGAAUUAAGUAAUGGUUUCUAAUUCAACGAUUUAGGUAGUUACUCCUAUGGACCCAAUAAUUCUUACAUCCUGUAUUUAUGUAGACUAUUCAAGUGAAAGUCACACUUAACUUAGGAAUUUAUGAAAUGUCACGCGAUGGACUGUUUCGCGUUUUUAUGUAAUCUCUAUAUUAUUAUUAGAUUGUAUUAUAUGACAGCGAUAGCGUUUUUAAGUUAAAUGGACUCCGGUAAUGAUAAUAGUCGGCAUAAUUCGAACAAUACUUAUAAGAUGUGACAAAGAUAUGAUAUCGAUCUUUCAGUGUCAAAUGGGACCGUUUUUGUUUGAAAAAAGUUUCAUCUUAUAAGCAUUGUUUGAAUUGAGCCGAGUAUCAGUUCUGUGAAGCUUUGAGAAUAUUAAAAAGUAAUAAAAUAAGGCAAAAUGGAAAUAUCUUACAAAUCACAAACACAAAGUUCUCACGUUCGUCGCAUUCUCGCCAGAAUGCUAGAAUAUCGUUUCCCUGCACUGGUAGUGCAACUGCCAAAUUGCAUAUCGAUAUGAAAUUGGGACUCACGUAGAACUUUGAUUUCUGGAAGUGCUUAGUUAUAAUUAAUAAAGAAAUACUUUAAAGACUAGGAGGCGUCAUCCUAGAAGCACUAGAGAAAGUUUAAUCUGGUGGGUAUUUUGUAACAAUAUUGUUGAUUUUUUUAUUAGCAAUUAUUUCAGAAGACACUUAUUGCAACAGGAACACUUAUUGCAACCUUAAUGUUAGGUAUUCUUGAAAAAAAAAAACACUUUUAAUUAGGUACAGUCCGCAUCAAAAGUAGCGGAUGAAACAACGUGCCAAAAGUAUCUGAUAUUUCGUGUGACUUUUCCAAAUGUAAAUGUGUGUGUGUAUGUAAAUAAUUUAAAAAAAAUCGCGUUCAAGAAUAUAUCUUUUACAGUCUUAGUUGUUCUAUAUUAAAGACUCGACUUUUUGUUAAGCUGUUACAGAAUGGUAGAUACUUAUGAAGCGUUAUUUGAUCCGCUACUUUUGAUGCUGACUGUACUUGUAGUGGAAUACAACUUAUUAAUUUUAACUUCUAAACUAAAUAGCUGCUCACAAAAUACAUACGAAUGAUGGACGGAUGGACGGAUGCAUGAACGUUUGAUAUUGAUGUAGUGGCCAGAUCACUUCAUGAUAUGGCUGACUUUAUCAUUAUGUGCUCAGCUCAGUCAGCUCCCUUACUCUGUUCUACAGGGUUGCGUAAUGCAUAGCAACCAUAAUGUGUUACGUUGUUAUUAUUUUUAAAAUAUCUUUUUAUAAUAUGUAUUCUAGUGUUAAGGUAUUGAUCUAUGGGUCACUAGUUGCAUGAAAUAAAGAUUUUCAUUAAAUGAUCGACUCUAAUAACUGGCCACGACAUAAAUAUGAAAUUACUCUUAGAGCGAAAUAAGCGCAAUCCCCCAAAAUAUAUGGGAGAGAGGGUAGGCUGUAUAUUAAAAUUACACUCCAUGUCAACCGCAAUUAGUUUUUUUUUAAUUAUUUCUUUAAUAUCCGUGUUUAUCUAAAAAUGUGGGCAUUGGGAUUUAUUAUGCAUUUCCUAAGAGUUGUAGUAGCAAAUCCGAUAGGUCCGGUCCUCUCAUAAUAAUUAUGAUUAAGUAUUUUGUUUGCUGGUUUAGUUGCUAUUACAUUGAUUGUAACGAAACACACAAUUUUAGUUUAGUUUAUUUUAAGAUUUUUAAGCAGGUCAUACACAGAUUUUGUGUGAGUUAUUUUGAUACACUCGAAAACUACUUCAGUAGUUUUGGGUGAUGUAACAAACACGGGGUCCGAGAAGUAUAUUUAAUUCUUCGUUUCAAAGCUGCGUCUAGCGUAUUACUCGGCAGGCGCGCCCGAGUUUUAUUAAUUUCAUAUCUAACAAUGACCGCUCACAGUUUGUUUCAGUUUUGCUAGAUUUUCAUUUCUCAGCCUUUGUGCUGGAGCGGUAGGCGCGUCAAACCGAUACGAUUCAACGGUAGUGGUAAUUAAUAUUAAAAUGUUUUGGGAGUUGUUAAGCAAAUCUGGACAGAGAUACAUUUUUGAAAGGCUAUUAUUGAAAUACUCGUAAUGGUAUUUGAUUUAUUCGUUUCAUCUGCCUCUCUCAAAAUUGUAAAACUUGUAUGAAUUCCUUGUUAGCUACGUAUGUUUUAUAUGUAUAUAUAGAAAAAACUUUAUAUCUAUUAUCGUUUAUUAUGUAAUUUGAAUAAUUUUAAUCCAAAAUCACCGAUCCUAUAAAAAUUAUAAACUUUUCCUUACUUCAAUUACAUUUAGCUUACAUUGUACAACAUGAUUUUAGAAGUAAAUAUUAUCAGAACCCCUCAGGGGCCGAAACCUUAACCGGGGUUUUUCAUAGGGUUAUUUUAGAAGUGGUUAUAAAAACCCCAACCAUAUCGGUAACCUUCUGAUAAGGUUAAUUUUCGAUUCGGUGACCGUAUCAGAUCGAGUUAACUCGUAUUACCGGUAACCGAAAUAAAAAUCCAGUGUAUUCAGUUAACUCAUAAUAGGGUUUUGGACCAGUUCAAAUGAUUGUAAUCUUUACACACGCUUAAAUUCAAUUUAUUAUUGCAUAAUAGCCGAUUACAAAUCAAAGUUAUUUCAACGUUUUUAAAAAUUCAACCCCUAAGGGGGGUAAAAAGGGGAUGAAGGUUUGUAUGGGGUUCAAGUUUUAUUUUGAGCUAGGAACUUGAAACUUCGUAAAAAGGUAUUUUACUAAAAUACAAGAAAACUAAUUUCAGCGUUUUUGAAAACUCAUACCUCAAGGCGGUGAAAAAAGGGUUGUAAGUUUGCAUCGGGAACGAAAAUUUUUGUAAAUAGUAAUCUUAAAAUGUUGUAAAAAGACACAAUAAUAGGCAACAAGAAAAGUGAUUUCAGCGUUUUUAGAAAUUAAUUCCCCAGGGGAGUAAAAGCGUUCAUUGAAAGUUUACAUUAAUCCCCUAAAUUGGUGAAAAAAAGUUUGCUCAUAUCCAUCUGAUCUGAAUAUCAAACAUUUAUUGGCACAACUAAAUGUUUUUCUUAUGUACAGCUAAGCCAACAUUUUGAAGUCUAAAUGAGCUUUCUGUGAUCCCGCUUUCCGCCUGUCCGUUAACCUAAACAUUCUUCGCUCUAAACUGAGCUUACGUAAAUAACUAACUAAAUAUUCGCGAAUCAGACUAAUUUAAAUUAAAUUGAACAAACAUUCUGGCGAACUUUGAAGUUGAGUUCCUAGAAUAUACGAGAAAUACAACAGACACAUAAUAGUACAUUACGAUACAAGUGCGAAAAAUAGGAAAUUCGAAACGAGUGGCGAUAAAUUAAAACACGACCGAAGGGAGUGUUUUAAAUCGACACGAGUUGCGAAUUACCUAUUCGCACAUGUAUCGUACAACGUUUUACAGUACAUAUGGCCCUUUAAAUGUUCGACACAGUAACAUAAUAUGCUACUUCUCGCACUAGUGCUAUAAAGUAGCCCCAUAUGUACUGUAAAAGUUAUUCUGAAAAUUCACGUACAAAUUUAUUAUUAGGUUUGUUUAAUAUGCGAUUUCAAGUUGUAUGAUUAGUCGAGUUAAUUCGUGUUAGCGUUCCUAAAUUUAUUAAAAUAAAUGAGUACCUGUAAAAUGUAUAUUAAAGAACAAAGCGAGAAAAAAAAAAUAGUUAGCUUUUUAGUACUGCAAAUAAGUUACGAGACUAGUUACCAGUUAUUAUGCCAGUUUAUGUUUAGUAGUUAUUCCAAGUAAUACAAAUGGAAUCAGUACAGUGAAGUUAAAUAAAACCUCAUUACGUUCACCCUUGAUUUGCCUAGUUUGAGAGCAGCCUGUGCUGAGGUUAAUUAGCUAAAGCGGGCAGCCUGUGAGUUGGAACAGGUUUGAAUAGCGUAACAUUAUACCUUUUUGGAUACUCAAUAAUAUUCGAUCGAAAUAAGGUGUGGUGUAAAUAAUAAGCGGCCUAGUGCGAGUCGGACUCGCGUUCCAAGGGUUCCGUAUAUCACACGAUUUUUAAAUAGUGGCUCUGCAAACAGUAAACCUCACUAUUAUUUAUUUACUAUAGACUUAAUAUAUUUUAACAAAAAAUCGACUACAAUAAAAUUCCGGGCCACAUAUUAGGCGUCACCCCUAUAGUCAUAUUAGGUACCUACCUAUACUACGAGGCAUCGGAUCACGCGCAGUGCCCCCUUUAACAAGCCCCGUUUAUAUGAGGACGCCUUUGGUGCCCAGAAAUUUACGUCGGCUUCCCCCGCCUCGCUUCUUUGAGUAUGAUAACGCCGUAGGCGCCCGACACUGGCCGCGCAGCGCACCUCAUACGGCUUAUCAGUCCGAGGGUCAAGGGCUCUUCAAGCAUACUGAAGCGCACGCACCACGUCAAAUAUACGUCAGGCUUUACCCGAAUUUUUCGUGUAAGUGUAUUUUCACUAUCUAGCAGGCUAGCGCCUUCCGAAAUAAUUACAGCAAAAACUUUUUCUUUCUCAGUAGAGAAAAUCCACGAUUAAAAGCCGCUUUAAUUGCGGUUUGUAUCAGUUUAUUAAUACAUUUACAGGUCAUUUUUGGAUUGAUUUAAUAUCAAGAAUUUAUAUACAUGGUUAUUGACUUCGCCUAUAAAAGAAUAUUCUCCAAUAUGCUUGGAACUGUUCACCUUAUUGUAGCAAAAAUAAUUCUCUUCUCUACGAAGCUCUUCUUACGGUCAAACUCAAAUUUAAAAAAUGGAAACCAUUAUUUAUGUGUUUUAUCGGACGGGAAGUUAUUACUGUAGAUAUUGUUUUUUCCUUUUUUUAAACACUAACUAACUCACUCAAAAACGCAAACAGGCAUUAAUAUAGCCGCGGGCUGCGUCUUCAGGACCCGGUCAGUAUCAUUUCAAGCUAUAGGAUAGCGUCAGAUAGAUAAACGACCUUACAUAUCUCGUUCUUACAAGACAGCCGUUUAUGAUCGUACGAAUACUCCUUAAUAAAAUCAAAUACUAUAACUUAUCUAUUUUUUAAGGACCUCAUGCGUGCAUACACACAGCUUAUAUUGCACAAUUAUAUUGACUGAACGAAUAUUGACUGGUACUGAAUGGCAGAAUAAGUUGUGCCUUUAACUUUUUUUAAAUAAUUAAAUAAUGAAAUUGUUUUUGACGUUUGUGAUGUGAAGGUUCGGUUUGAGUGCUGGUUAAUGCUUAAAUUAUGAUUAUUUUACCUGAUUUCCUCGCAUGUUUGGAGAAUAGCACUAUAUAUGUAUCGGCAGGAAUAGCAAUUCAUGGAUUUGUCUUCUUUGUCGGAUGACGCGACGUGGAGUAUACAGGGUGUAACAAAAAUAGCAGGGAUCCGUUUAAGGGCAUAUUCAGUAUCGUGUUCUGAUUAGGAAAAAGUAGAUGAUUUUUUUUCGACGCAAAUAGUUUUGGCCUUUGUAUGGAUGAUUGGCCGACUUGAACGACCUGCCCUAUAGAAAAAAAAAUCACGUCAAAUAAAUUUUUCCUGUACUUUUUUCUGAUCUUCUGAUCAAAUAAACUCUUAAACGGAUUCCCACUAUUUUCGUUAUACCUUGUGGAAUAAGUUAGCAAGCCCCACAUAGCCAACAUAUUUUUUAUGAUAUAGGUGGCAAACGAGCAGAUGAAUCGCCUGACGAUAAGCGAUUACCGUUGCCCAUAGACACCCGUAAUACAAGAGGAGUUGUAAGUGUACUUUCGGCUUUUAAGAUGGAAGUACGCUCUUUUCUUGAAGGUUUGAAGGUCGUAUCGGUCCGGAAAUACCGCAGGCAUGCAUAGUUUAGCUGUGCAAGGCAGGAAUUUUUUGGAGAAACGCACAGUUUAGGACUACUAACCGUCCACGUGGUGAAGAUGGAAAUGUUGUCGCGUAGGGCGAUGGCACAGUAUUUCCCGUGAUACAUUAGAUAGAAAAUAUAAAGCGAGGCUACAUCUCUACGCAGCGCCAAGUAGUCAAACCGAUCGGUAAUGCGCUGCCAGUCGACAAUUCGAGUCGCUCUCCGUUGGGUGUGGUCCAGAGGGAGAAGCUGGUACUGAGGUGCACGUGCCCAUAGAUGAGGACAGUAUUCCUUCCGUGGGCGAACUUGUGCCUUAUAAACCUGUAGGCGGUGGCCGGUAAGAAAUACUGUCUCGACCUGUUGAGCAACCCGAACUUUUUUGAGACCCUUGAAAUGGCCACGGAACUGGUUUUUCACACACAUAAAAUAAAUAUAUAUAUACUCGUAGUACAACAUAAUAAAAUCAGCUCUUGCCCUUACAGUUUAAUGAAGUGACUUCUUGACUAUACAAAGUUAUUAACAAAGUGCGGUGCUUGUAGAAUAUCACCACGGAACGCUUUAGUUUGCGACUAGAAUAAGAACAAUGUAGAUUGUUUUAACUAAAUUGGUGUUAAAAUACCUAUCCCAUGAAAUACAUACUUAGCAAUAGAAAACUUAACUCGACCGGUCAGAGAACGUCAGGUGCACUGAAAGCCGCUGUCGGCGACGUUUUCCGGCGUUUAGGUGAUUCGUGCCAUUGUCGUUUCACCUGAACUGAAUAGGUAUCUAAAAUUUGUUAAAACGUCCGCGCUGUGAGUUGCAACUGGCGUUUCAAUGUUUGUUUUGUCACUGUAGCUUGUACACAAAAUAUGGUUUAUUGAUAUAAUUAGAGAUUUUGCCAAGUAAGUACAUAAAAAUAGGUACACUGAGCUCUAUAGAAUGUAGUAUUUCAUUACGUUAUCGUUUGUAGGGGUCAAAUGAAUGAGAAUGUUUAAUGCAUCGUAUUCAUCAGUUAAAAAAUAACACUUAUGUUUAAUCUAUGAACGGGUUUGUUAUUGAUAAUAAGAGUACGUUGUAUUAUAGUUUUAACAGUAUGUUUAGGUUGCGCCUAGCCAAAUAUACCUAACAGACCUAUCUACUACUCAUCUUUAACUUCAGUUUGGUUUUUGUGACGCAAAUGACGCAAAAAAUUGUGACCCCAGUGGCCUAUUUGAAACGGUAGAAUGGUGACAAUAUACAUUUUAAAACGUUAACAAAAGUUAGCUGUCACUGUCGACUUGACGUGCUGCUUGUUAAUAUCCUCAGGCAAUAAAUAUUUGAUUGGCAUUUCAUUUAAACAUUAACGUUUGCUACAAGGUUGUUAAUAUCUCAAUUCUUUAGUAAGUAAACAGGAUUAUAUCCAUUUAGAGGCGUUGUUUUUUAAUAUACAAGUUAUCUAUUUGAAAACUUAAACAUUAUAAUGGACCAUUUGCGUCAAAAGUGUUCAGGGAAACGAGCGUCUUAACUGUGUAUAGUAUAAUAAAAAUAAGGCUUUACAGUCUAUUUACUUUAUAAUGCCCACAGGAAAGAUUCAUAAUCUAAACACAUACUAAAAAGUAUUUGAGAUUAUUUAACUUUUUUACUUAUACAUCUACAACGCUAAUUAAAUGAUGAAUUGAUGACUAAUAUUAAUUGUUGAGGAUAAAAGGAUAGGCAAUUUGCGCCAUUUGUAUGGAACGUAGGAUUCUCGCCGUCGGUAGUCGAACUACUCAAAACUGGUUUUCGACCUCUAAUCUAACGUCACGAAACUGGUAACGUAAGUAUAUUAAAUUUAGUUUAAUGGUAUUCGGUGUUAAGAUAACGUUACGGGUUACUGCACAUUAAACAAUACGUAGGCAUAGGUACUAUUCCUAGCCCUAGUAAUCUUCUCACACAUGUACGUAAAUAAUUAAAAGUUUAAAUAUAGGGCUUAAAUACGAAAAUCAAAAAGUGUUGCAAAUUGCACAUGGUGUGGCGAAAAAUAUACUUAAACGGGCAUGUUGUGGGAAUUUUUUUUUUUUGUAAUAUUAAGAUCAAUAUUUAUUUUACAUUUAUCUCUUUUAUCUCAGAACUGCUGAGCGAGCCUACAUUUUAUUUAAAAACACAGAUUAUGUUUCUUUACUUAUAAGUUAAUCUAACGAUUAGAGGAAAACAUUAAGAAGGUCAAGCAUCACUCGAUCUAACGAAAGAAGUAAAAAAAAUGUGUGACCGUUCGUGACCCUUGGGGCGCCGUUCUGCCUCGGGGCAAUUUGGGUAUUUGGCUGUUUUUUAAUUAUUCUUUUCUUGCUAUGGUGAAUAAUGUGUCAAGUUACAGUAGCAUAAUAAAAGUCCGCUCCUCCGUUUUCUAUAGUCCGCCAAAUUAUGAACUUUAUCACGAAUAAUUUUGUCGUAUCUAUGUGCUAUUUUCAUUAAAAGUAACAGAAGCCUAAAUCACAUAGGUACGAGUAAGUACUAAAAAAUAUGAAAAUUAGAUAUUUACUUUUUCUCCAUUUUGUCUAAAAUCGUUAAAAUAUGUUUUGUUAUUAAGCUGCAUUUUACAAUAUGCACUUAAGGGGUAAGGGGUAAAAUUAAAUCCUGAUAGUUUUUAAUGUCGAGAUCAUGUCGUAGGGUGUACUAGAAACCAAGCAACAUUAGUAGCAACUGACUGAUCCAGCGGUCUCUGCGGUUGCGCUGGGUCAUGACAAAUUCGUGAACGCGCGCCCAUCCUACGGAGAAUCAUUCUCAGAACCACCAACAUUUGUAAUAGUUGUACCGAAUGCUAAUGCUGAGCUGAAAUGGUGUUUUUUUUUUUAAAUAUUAUUGUCAUGUGGCUGCAAUGCAAUGCUAAUGUACUUAAUGUACCAAAUUGAUUCUUAUUCCUGCUUCUCAGGGUUUCCUUUAUUAAUACAAGAAUGCCCCGUUACAACACCCCGUUCUACUUAAUGAUGAAAAGGCACGAGUGUCUGCGGUUUUUCAACUCCACUUCAAAUGGAGGUAACAAUUUACGUUUUAGAAAGAUUGCUAAAAAAGUCGUUAGCGGUAAUGGUGUCACCAGUUUAAUGUGUUUUUGAAACGAAAAUCAUUAACGAGACGGAAAUUAGAAAUUUAUGAAUCCUCAUUCGUUAUGGAAUUGCGUCGUUUUGGUACAUAAUUACUAAAGAAGAAUCAUUCUAUUGAAUAAAUGUUGUGAAAUGUUAGCAUUCCUGACGAACUCCUAGCAUCAUGUACUCUUUAGGAGAGCAUAUAAUUCUCGUAUAAUUAAGGUAGUUGAAUCUACUGCUAAUAUAUGCAUUAGUAGCUGUUUAUAUCAAACAUAUCGACCUUUGCCUUGGCAACUAUCGUUAGCAUGUCUGAUGUGCCCUUGCUGGUGGGAAAUCAUUAGUUGGUUUAACAAAGUAUGUUUAUUUAGUUAUGCUUUUUAAUUACCACUUAAAUUUAUAGCAUCAAGAUUAGAAGCUACAAUAAACUUUAAGAACACGUCUUUAUAUGAUUUCAUAUAUUUCGCGGGACUAAUAUAAUUAUGUUUAAAGGGUAUACUCUGUCAUGGUGUCAUGGUGUCGCAUAUAUGUUUCGCAAAAUAGUACUCGUAUUUUACUAGUCUAGAAUUUUAGUCAUUUGUCUAAUACAUGAUCCUAAUUUUAUGUAAGUAUAGGUGAAAAUAAUGUAUCCUUCCAUUAUGACUGUGCACAAAAUAACUACGUGCUUUGGAUAACCGCUAGGGCCCAUGUUGAAAACUCAAACAGUCGAGCUAAGGGUGUUGGAUGGGCAAACUUUAUUCAUUAGUUAUGUGUGGCCCACUAAAACUAAAGUUGUUCCCAUUCAAUGACACUCGAAACCCGAUGGGCUUCUCUAAGGCCAUGUUUUCAUUUAAUUUAUUUUUUUUGUCUGCAGAGGAAAACCACUUGCCAUAAUAAUACUAUUUGUUCAGUGCUACCUGGGUCAAAAUUAUUUUCGUCGUCUUGUUUUUUGUCGCCAAAAAAUGUGACGGAGUGUAGCUUUUUGUAUGACAUAAAAUUUUGUUAUUAAUUCUUAUCAUGUUAAAUGUAAUCUACAGCUAAAAGAUAUGCAAUAGCAGUCGUCUUUUUUAUUUAAUUGAUAAAAUACAGAAAUACUAGCGUGACAUUAUGUUUCAAAACAAGACCAUGAAAAAAAAUUCGACCCACCUGCUGAAAAUAUGCUACAGUACGAUUUAAACAACCAAGUCCGACCAAAAUCAUAUUUUUUCUCUUUUUAGUUCAUUUGUUAUGUAGUCGUAUGUCAUGUUUGAUAAGAUUAUUGUGCUUAAAUUCCAUUAAAGCACUAUUUGGUACCUUGUUUAAUGGGAAAACCGGCGCGCGGCAGGGAGAUGGGACAGUGCAUUAAUUAGGCACUGGACCUCCCAACAUCUUAGUUUAGGUACUAACAUAGUAAUUUAAGUAUAAUUGUAACUAACAAAAUAUGGAUUGUGUCGUCCGAAAUAAAUGUUUUUUUUUUUAUAGCCGACUCUACCCUAUAUACCGGUUGUUUAUUUAGUCACCUGCGAUAAUUUACGGGCUGAAUAUAAAGGUUAUACUGAGCAACUUUUACUAUGGGACCAACCCUGAAAUUUCGAAAAAGAUUUGGCUGUUUCAUAUAUUUUGGCUGUGUGACCUUGACUUUUCUAUGGGAGAGUAA